Molecule: ribosomal RNA, 493 nt
Filed under: Pseudo-nitzschia fraudulenta
Lineage: Eukaryota; Bacillariophyta; Bacillariophyceae; Bacillariales; Bacillariaceae
Description: partial Bacterial large subunit ribosomal RNA
Rfam family: Bacterial large subunit ribosomal RNA
Source: RNAcentral
GACAAGGUAUCUUAUCCUGAAUACAUAGGGAUAAGAAGGGAACGCGGGGAACUGAAACAUCUAAGUACCCAUAGGAAAGGACAUCAACCGAGACUCCGUUAGUAGUGGCGAGCGAACGCGGACCAGGCCAGUGCCUGAUUGUAAAUUAGCAGAACAUUCUGGAAAGUUUGACCAUAGUGGGUGACAGUCCCGUAUGCGAAAAUGAUCAAUCAGGACUCGAGUAGGGCGGAACACGUGAAAUUCUGUCUGAACAUGGGGGGACCACCCUCCAAGCCUAAGUACUCGUGCAUCACCGAUAGCGAACCAGUACCGUGAGGGAAAGGUGAAAAGAACCCCGAUAAGGGGAGUGAAAUAGUUCCUGAAACCGGAUGCCUACAAGCAGUUGGAGCCUCUUUAUGGGGUGACAGCGUACCUCUUGCAUAAUGGGUCAGCGAGUUAGUCUUACAAGCAAGCUUAAGCCGAUAGGUGUAGGCGCAGCGAAAGCAAGUCUUAA